Molecule: small nuclear RNA, 149 nt
Organism: Physeter macrocephalus (sperm whale)
Lineage: Eukaryota; Metazoa; Chordata; Mammalia; Artiodactyla; Physeteridae
Gene: U1
Rfam family: U1 spliceosomal RNA
About the family: U1 is a small nuclear RNA (snRNA) component of the spliceosome (involved in pre-mRNA splicing). Its 5' end forms complementary base pairs with the 5' splice junction, thus defining the 5' donor site of an intron.
Source: Ensembl
GUACUUACCUGGAAGGAGAGAUACCAUGAUCACAAAGGUGGUUUUCCCAGGGUGAGGCUUAUCCAUUCCACACCUACAAUUUCCCCAAACGUGGGAAACUUGACUGCAUAAUUUUUGGUAGUGGGGGACUGCGAUCACACUUUCCCCUA